AACGAACGCUGGCGGCAUGCCUAACACAUGCAAGUCGAACGAGGCCUUCGGGUCUAGUGGCGCACGGGUGCGUAACGCGUGGGAACCUGCCCUUAGGUUCGGAAUAACUCCCCGAAAGGGGUGCUAAUACCGGAUAAUGUCUUCGGACCAAAGAUUUAUCGCCUUUGGAUGGGCCCGCGUUGGAUUAGCUAGUUGGUAGGGUAAAAGCCUACCAAGGCGACGAUCCAUAGCUGGUCUGAGAGGAUGAUCAGCCACACUGGGACUGAGACACGGCCCAGACUCCUACGGGAGGCAGCAGUAGGGAAUAUUGGACAAUGGGCGAAAGCCUGAUCCAGCAAUGCCGCGUGAGUGAUGAAGGCCUUAGGGUUGUAAAGCUCUUUUACCCGGGAUGAUAAUGACAGUACCGGGAGAAUAAGCUCCGGCUAACUCCGUG
This 433-nucleotide ribosomal RNA is filed under the name uncultured bacterium. Its description in RNAcentral is "partial 16S ribosomal RNA". It matches the Rfam family "Bacterial small subunit ribosomal RNA", at positions 29 to 507 of the family's 1533-position model. The record is from RNAcentral.